GUCUAAGGCCAUGCCACCCUGAACAUGCCCGAUCCUGUCUGAUCUCGGAAGCUAAGCAGGGUCGGGCCUGGUUAGUACGUGGAUGGGAGACCACCUAGGAAGACCAGGUGCUAUAGGCA
RNAcentral lists this ribosomal RNA (119 nucleotides) under Pteropus alecto (black flying fox). Lineage: Eukaryota; Metazoa; Chordata; Mammalia; Chiroptera; Pteropodidae. The record is from RNAcentral.